GGGGAUUUAGCUCAGUGGCCUAAGUGCUUGCCUGGCAAGCAGGAGGUCAUGAAUUCAAUCCCCG
RNAcentral lists this transfer RNA (64 nucleotides) under Cavia porcellus (domestic guinea pig). It matches the Rfam family "tRNA". From Rfam's summary of the family: Transfer RNA (tRNA) molecules are approximately 80 nucleotides in length. The record is from Rfam by way of RNAcentral. Lineage: Eukaryota; Metazoa; Chordata; Mammalia; Rodentia; Caviidae.